AGAGUUUGAUCCUGGCUCAGAAUCAACGCUGGCGGCGUGCCUCAGACAUGCAAGUCGAACGAGAAAGUCCCCUUCGGGGGAUGAGUAAAGUGGCGCACGGGUGAGUAACACGUAGGUAAUCUACCUUCGGGUGGGGAAUAACCCAGGGAAACUUGGGCUAACACCGCAUAAUGCAGCGGCACCACAUGGUGACAGUUGUUAAAGCGGGGGAUUUUAGGACCUCGCGCCUGAAGAGGAGCCUGCGGCGGAUUAGCUAGUUGGUAGGGUAACGGCUUACCAAGGCGACGAUCCGUAACCGGCCUGAGAGGGCGGUCGGUCACACUGACACUGACAUACGGGUCAGACUCCUACGGGAGGCAGCAGUCGGGAAUUUUGGGCAAUGGGCGAAAGCCUGACCCAGCAACGCCGCGUGAAGGAUGAAAUCCUUCGGGAUGUAAACUUCGCAAGAAUAGGAAGAAUUAGUAGAGGCUAAUACCCCCUAUGAUGACGGUACUAUUUGUAAGCUCCGGCUAACUCCGUGCCAGCAGCCGCGGUAAUACGGGGGGAGCAAGCGUUGUUCGGAUUUACUGGGCGUAAAGGGCGCGUAGGCGGUCAGCACAAGUCAGUUGUGAAAUCUCCGGGCUUAACUCGGAAAGGUCAACUGAUACUGUGCGACUAGAGUGCAGAAGGGGCAACUGGAAUUCUCGGUGUAGCGGUGAAAUGCGUAGAUAUCAAGAGGAACACCAGUGGCGAAGGCGAGUCCCUGGACAAUUCCUGACACUGAGGCACGAAAGCUAGGGGAGCAAACAGGAUUAGAUACCCCGGUAGUCC
RNAcentral lists this ribosomal RNA (810 nucleotides) under uncultured Acidobacteriota bacterium. RNAcentral's name for it is "bacterial SSU rRNA". It matches the Rfam family "Bacterial small subunit ribosomal RNA", at positions 8 to 796 of the family's 1533-position model. The record is from RNAcentral. Lineage: Bacteria; Pseudomonadati; Acidobacteriota.